CAUCCAGCUUAUCGGCUUGAGGCAGAUCAAUAUCAGCAGUAAUAGAUUGAUGCUAGAAGAAGGGCCCCGACCUCAUUAUUGGAGGUUCUGCUUAGCUACAACCAUCAUGAGAUCCUAGAAGGCUUAAGCAGUGCCAUCGGCCUUGCACCUCGAUGCUCCUCUGGCUCUAUAAAGAGGCUCUCAAGCUCUCAUGGUCCACAUUCGACU
Molecule: long non-coding RNA, 207 nt
Filed under: Elaeis guineensis (African oil palm)
Lineage: Eukaryota; Viridiplantae; Streptophyta; Magnoliopsida; Arecales; Arecaceae
Description: long non-coding RNA (EGUI_LNC010060)
Source: RNAcentral